RNAcentral lists this ribosomal RNA (301 nucleotides) under uncultured bacterium. RNAcentral describes it as "partial 16S ribosomal RNA". It matches the Rfam family "Bacterial small subunit ribosomal RNA", at positions 509 to 807 of the family's 1533-position model. The record is from RNAcentral.
CAGCAGCCGCGGUAAUACAGAGGCCUCAAGCGUUGUUCGGAUUCAUUGGGCGUAAAGGGAGCGUAGGCGGUUGGGUAAGUCGGAUGUGAAAUCCUGGGGCUCAACCUCAGAACUGCAUUCGAUACUGCUUGGCUAGAGGACUGGAGAGGUGAGUGGAAUUCACGGUGUAGCAGUGAAAUGCGUAGAUAUCGUGAGGAAGACCAGCGGCGAAGGCGGCUCACUGGACAGUUUCUGACGCUGAUGCUCGAAGGCCAGUGGAGCAAACGGGAUUAGAUACCCCUGUAGUCCCUGUCUCUUAUAC